UUUAGUAGCAAAUCUCAGGCGAAUCAUUUCGAAAACCAGCAAGCCUACUGCAGUGGUAUCUGCAUUUAUCGCAAUAGCAAACCAAUCUCAUUGUUACCUGCCUUAAACUUGCUCUUUUAACAGCAUUCGAUAAAUCUGCUUUCAUAAAAUACAACCGCUGACCUCUACUAUUAAACAUAUUGUUAAUUUCUUGUAAAAAAAAAUACUUGCUUUUUUCCAACAUAAUCUCAUAUACAGUAUAGCGGCCGCUAUGUUUUUCACAUGCCCAAUGCAUUGUAGGAUGAUAACGUGAUAUGGUUGCCAUUCACUUUAUACUGCAUUUGAGAAAGGCGGGAAGUCUACCACAUCGGCCUCACAGUGCAGAGAGAAGGGGUUUGAUUCUGUCCCCACCUGUCUGGAGUUUGCAUAUUCUCCCCGCGCAGUGCAGAAGUGAGUUUUCUUCGGGCACUCCAGUUUCCUCCCAAAUUCCAUGGUAGGUUGAUUGAACGGUCUAAACUCUCCCUAAGUGUGAUUGUGAACGUGAAUGGUUGUCUACGUGUGCCCUGAGAUUGGCUGGCAACCAGUUCAGGGUGUACCCGCCUACUGCCCGAAUUCAGCUUGGAUAGGCUCCAGCAUGCCCACGACCCUCGUGAGGAUAAGCUGUUCAGACAAUGGAUGGAUGGUCGAAGUUCCAUCCUCAAAGCAUUUGAGGCGAUUCCUUUGGUGUGAACGGGACCUUAAAGUCACCAGGGAGAUAACACAUCCUAAGAGAUAAAGCAUACAUUGCUGGAUUUUCCCCGUGCAGUAUGGACUCGCAGAGCUCUCAUCAACAGAGAAGGGGGGGUUGGCUGGUGACUCAAACAUUGGGCCUAUUGAUCUCCACUCAAGCAUCCCACGGGACUAGUUCCUUCUAUCACCGGGGGGCCCUCUAAACAGGUAACAUACACAGCCGAAUAAAUGGAGUAAUGACUUCUCUGUGAUGGUUUGCUGUUUUAACAAGGUGUGGGCCCUAAAAUAUCUCUUAGCCUAAUGAUGAGGCCCACUUGAUUAUCAAUGGAAAUCUAGCAACAUGCUGCUCGAGUGUGCUGUGUUUUGUUGGUGUCUUGUCACGCAGGUAAAGAUGAACAUGCAGUAUGCUGUUCGAUCACUUCCUCCGAACUUAACCGGGAACGUCAUCACAGGAAAUAUGCGCUUUAAUUCUGGGUCAACAUUUGAAUGGAAAUGUGUAUAGAUAAAUCACCAUAAAUUAUAGCGUGGAAAACCAGAUUCACCGCUGUACCAGCGAUUGAGUCUGGUCACAAUCACAUCAAGCGCAUUUCUGAGGCAUCCAGUGGACAUGGUUAAAACUCUGGGCCGAUCACAUGACUUUCAGCUGAUUGGUAUCAGCUCAAAAAGAUUUGAUUUUUAAAUUGUCUUAAUUUCUAAAGUCAAGGAUAAAAUAGUUUCAUUCUUUUCAUUAUUUGAACCACUGCUCAUUAACAGCCAUAUAACGUGUUUCAUCUUGAGAUACCUUCAUUCAAAAUAAAUGAAUAAGAUAAUUGAAACAAUUGGGAUGUGGGGUUCUUUUUCCUCUCCAUUCUAUUGUAUUGCAGAGGUGUUCAUCGGGACUCAGUAUCAGCAGAUAUUCAAAAUCAAAUGACUUGCACUCUGCCAUUCGCCCCCAUUGCAUUGAAAAAUAUCUUGUUUGGCUUGGGAACUUGUUGCGCUGUGGUGGUUGGACCAACAAGCAGGAUAAGUUGAAUCGGUGACUACAAGACCAAUGUUUUGAACUGGCAUUCCGGACCAAGAGGAGAGAACGUUGUGAUAAACGCUAGUUUGCAGCGCCUUCCUGCUGAGAGUCAUUUAAAAUUUGGAUAUGAGAUAUUUCUUCAAUUUUCACAUGGAUGCAGUAUUCUUUGACCUCUUGAUACUCUGCCAUGUUUUAUUUAGAAUACCAAUUGCAAAUUUAAAGAAUAAAUGGACGACAUAUCUGAAUGCAAACUCAAAAAAUAAAUAUCAUAUGUUAAGCACAUUCACUGUGUCAUCCCAGGCACCCGACUAAAACAUUUCUGUUUGUGCUUUUGACUGCUUUGACAUGUUUCAUUUAACACUUAAACAAUUCAUCAGUGUGGGUAAAGGUUUGUGAAGAUAUAUUGUAUUUAUUUUUCUUGACAGUAUCUGCAUAUUAAAAAAAAACUAAGUAAGAAAGAGAAACAUGAAUGAUUUUUCAACAUUUUGGUGUGUCCCGUGGCUCUAUUGAAUGAUGACUGAUUGGUUUAAGACAAGGAAGAUGAAGAAGAAACUUCUGUUCUCCUGCCUUGCCACUCAGUGUAGAAGGUAAGUACGGUCAUACAAUGCAGGCAAAUGACAGGGGCCAUGUCAAGUGUUAUUAUAGUCUUUGCUGUGAGCCGCAAAUAAUAAAUGUCCAUAGUUUAAACACCCCAAAAAUAAUCGAAAUAGAGAAUUGUUUGAAACCAAAAUCAUUUCAAUUCAAAUGGUGGCCAACCCUAUGCUCCACUACGUUUUGCUCUCAGUCAUUUUUACCCUGGCGGUGACUCCUACAUUUCCAAUUAAUAUUGUGCCGUAAUGCUACAUAAUGGCGUUUAAUACGAUUGACUCUAAGAAUGUGAUAUUUCAUGCUGCAGUCUAGGGUGCAACCAAUGCGAGAAAUGAACAGAGAUAGUGUGAAUGUAGUUCAAAGUGGUUAAAAACGGCAGAGGUAAAAAAAAAUGGCUGGUGGAAAUUCUGUUUAGCUGGUAACUUUAGAGAGUCAACAGGCAAUAUGAUGACCUCUGAUCAAAAGAGUUCAUUUAGAAACCUGGUCAUAAAUGUGCCGGAUUUUUCAAAGUGCAACUUUGAAACUUCGCCAAGCCAACAUCUGCAUCAGCUGCCUUUGCAACAUUGACGCACUUUCAGCAGCCACAUCAAUGAGCGCGUGUCAUACCGGCUUACGACCUAUUUUCCAUCCGGGAUGUACUUCACUCCUAUAUCGGUUUGGAGGUCUAUCUCUGGCCAGACAGAAGCCAGCUUCGCCCCACUAACUUUGACUGCAUAAGCAAUGUGCAGCUGACUACUUUCUGACACUAAAUUUCUGAAAACUAAACCAAUCGCCACCAAAAUUCAUGUGCACAUCCCUACUCUUGUCCUGUUCAACCUGUCAAAAUGUAAAAUGGUCGACACAAUAUUUUGAUUUUUUGGAGGUGAUAACAGCUUUUCCUCUUCGGAGCUCACAUUUAAUCUAAAUAAAAUACAAAAUAAUCUGCUGAUGGCUUGUAUAUUUUCACUGGAUGGAGGGGACAUGAGUAAAGCUGUGCAUAUGAAUUUUGGUGAUGAUCAGUCACCGUUUUCAGAAGAACAGUGUCAGCAAAUGCAUGCAGUAACCCGCAGGAGCGUGGACUCUGCAUGCUUACACCCAACAACUUGCUGGCAGCGACAUGGCUAAACACAAGACAAAUGAUCAGACUUUGUAUUGGUCUGUCGUGGUGAAGAAUAAGCUGAGCCAGAAAGCGAAGCUCUCAAUUUACCGGACGAUCUAUGUCCCCACCCUCAUCUAUGGUCACGACCCACCACUUGUGACCGAAAGAACAAGAUCCCGGAUACAAGAGGCCAAAAGGAGUUUCCUCCCAGGGUGUCGGGUCUCUCCCUUAGAGAUAAGGUGAGAAACCCGGUUAUCUGGGAGGGACUCAGAGCUGCUUCUCCUCCAUGUUGAGAGGAGCCAGAUGAGGUGGCUCGGGCACCAGUUUAGGAUGCCUCCUGAAUGCCUACCUGGUGAGGUGUUCCGGGAAUGGACACCAAUUUGAAAAUUUUCCAGCUUUUACAGAAUGAAAUUCUCAAAAAUGUAAUUACUUAAAUAAAAUAAAUAACAUAAUUCUGAGGCCUGCAUGAGCUGUCGGCUUUGCAUUCCCAAAAACAAUAAUUAAACAAAAAAAAAAGGAAUGAAACAAAACCUGAGUCAACAUUGCACUGACUUGUUGGGAAAGACGUACUCUUUCAGCGGAUGACAGCAAGAACAGCGAGAACAAUUAGUCAAGAAACAAAAAACAAGAUGUUCCAUUUUGGCCCGAAAUGUGGCAUCAAAUAGCAUCACUUAGUUUGCUUAAGGUGUUUACAAAUGUUCAAAGUCACGCAUCCCAGAUGAAUAAGCCAUCCAAAGAAAGACAGCACGUCUUCAGACAAGAGUAAUCUUCUCACGCUGACUGAUAACAUCUUAAAAGGUGCCUUUUGACUUCAUGCUUGGUGUUCCCCUCACACAAACACAAGCUUUACUGAACUGAGCUGACCUAUCUCGAGGCAAACCCAAACAAAUUUAAGGCCUACGGCUUCUGAUCGUGUUUGGGUAACAAGGUGUAAUACAUUCUCAAGUGAUCUGUCACUGAUUGAGAAUGGCCGAUUCAGGUUUUGUGCCGUGUCCUUCAGCUCCCUUUGUUAUGUGACACGGAGAUGGGAAGAGUAAGUGUCACGAGCCAUCUUGGGAGGCUUGUCCUCUCUGCCUCUGAAAGCAUUCCCAAGCUUUUGUUUCCUCGGGAAGAUAGAGAAUUGUGCAAAGAUAGUUCUGGGUGACUGCUCUGAGUGUCAUGGGUGGGGGGGAAAAAUCUGGUUUGUGAUUUGCUGCAGGUAGACAUUUAGGAAAUUGAAUACUUGAAUUAAAAAUGGUAACCAAUUAAGCUUUUUUUUUUUUUUAAUUUAGCCUUGCAUCCACAAUCCGAGAGUGGGACACACGUGCUUUUUGGUUGACAUGAAAGUCAUAGGAACAUAUGCACAUGCCAAAGUUUCAUCCGAGACUUUGGCACACCAAGGUGCUCCAACUUCUCAUCAAGCGCUCUCAGUUUGGCAGGUACGGCCCUAUAAUGACAAGAUAUUUUUUACUUCAAAGCCUUUUAAGCUUAAAUGGGUCGAAGAAAAAAAAAAGAAAACCUUUAAGAUUCCAGCCAGGUCUCACCAAUACCACACACCUUCACUCUUAGGGAACACCCCCCCCCCACCCCACUUCCCUCCCUCCCGCCAGCUCAACCUCUGAGCUCAAGUAGAUGUUGUUAGACAAUACAGAGAAUUCCACAGAAACACUUCAUACAGAGUGGCAGUCCCAGAGAUGUAAUCCAAUGCCAUUCUCAGGCUUCAUAAUGUCCGCAGUGAUCAGGGGGUGGCCAGUGGGACAAGUCUCGACAUAGCUGGGUUCAAACGACUCCCUCAUUCUCGAAAGCAACGCUUUGUUCCCAGAUCAAUCCGGUCCUUUUCUCCCUCUGACAAAGCCGCAACGUUUAACAGCAGGAUUAAAAGCCCCGAAUCCCAACACUGGCACUUAGCAAAAGCAACAGAGGAGAGAGCAUUGGGAGCAUUGGGAGAGCUGAUGCUUCACUGGCUCACCUCACCCACUGAGCGAAAGGUGCUUGCUCGGGUGGAAACCUUAAAACCAUAUUCGCCCACACUGACCGCUUCGCUUACAUCAUGCAACUUUGCUGGUCAAUUGUUAUUCAACAACUAACAAGUUAAUGAAAUCCUUCACUGAAGUUAAAGCUUGUACGAAUAUAUAACCACACACUUGAGGUAAGACACACAACUUGAUUGCUCUACCAGAGUGUUUAAAGCUAUGAUUAAGUCACUGUCACAUAUUUUAAUGAGAAAACAAAAAUGCAUGGGUGUCAUCGUUUUUUUGGAGUGUAGUUUGUGUCAGGAAGAAAGUUUUUUUUUUUUUUAGUCUUCCCAAAAUCAUUACAAACCAGCAAUUUGACACCCACCCAAAAG
Molecule: long non-coding RNA, 5700 nt
Organism: Hippocampus zosterae (dwarf seahorse)
Lineage: Eukaryota; Metazoa; Chordata; Actinopteri; Syngnathiformes; Syngnathidae
Exons: 5
Source: RefSeq, a predicted model, not a curated record